GAUGAACGCUGGCGGCGUGCCUAAUACAUGCAAGUCGAGCGAACGGACGAGAAGCUUGCUUCUCUGAUGUUAGCGGCGGACGGGUGAGUAACACGUGGAUAACCUACCUAUAAGACUGGGAUAACUUCGGGAAACCGGAGCUAAUACCGGAUAAUAUUUUGAACCGCAUGGUUCAAAAGUGAAAGACGGUCUUGCUGUCACUUAUAGAUGGAUCCGCGCUGCAUUAGUUAGUUGGUAAGGUAACGGCUUACCAAGGCAACGAUGCAUAGCCGACCUGAGAGGGUGAUCGGCCACACUAGAACUGAGACACGGUCCAGACUCCUACGGGAGGCAACAGUAGGGAAUCUUCCGCAAUGGGCGAAAGCCUGACGGAGCAACGCCGCGUGAGUGAUGGAGGUCUUCGGAUCGUAAAGCUCUGUUAUUAGGGAAGAACAUAUGUGUAAGUAACUGUGCACAUCUUGACGGUACCUAAUCAGAAAGCCACGGCUAACUACGUG
Molecule: ribosomal RNA, 497 nt
Filed under: uncultured bacterium
Lineage: Bacteria
Description: partial 16S ribosomal RNA
Rfam family: Bacterial small subunit ribosomal RNA
Source: RNAcentral